This 243-nucleotide unclassified non-coding RNA is filed under the name fungal sp. Its description in RNAcentral is "partial internal transcribed spacer region". The stretch from base 1 to 46 matches the Rfam family "Eukaryotic small subunit ribosomal RNA", at positions 1786 to 1831 of the family's 1831-position model. Lineage: Eukaryota; Fungi. The record is from RNAcentral.
AAGUCGUAACAAGGUAACCGUAGGUGAACCUGCGGUUGGAUCAUUACUUUAUUGUGUGAGGGAGGUGGUAACGCACCCACCCACAACUACACCUGUGCGCUCGACUGUAUUUCGUUCGUUUGGGGACCCUUGGGACCCUUGGGACCCGAACCGAACUGAACUUUAAACAAACCAUUAGAAUUCGUCUUAAAUAAUCGUUCGUUUAAUAUUAAACAACUUUUGACAACGGAUCUCUUGGCUCUC